CCUACGGGAGGCAGCAGUAGGGAAUCUUCCACAAUGGACGAAAGUCUGAUGGAGCAACCCCGCGUGAGUGAAGAAGGGUUUCCGCUCGGAAAGCUCUCUUGGUAGUGAAGGAAGAUAGAGGUAAUAACUGGCCCUUAUUUGACGGUAAUUACUUAGAAAGUCACGGCUAACUACGUGCCAGCAGCCGCGGUAAUACGUAGGUGGCCAGCGUUUUCCGGAUUUAUUGGGCUUAAAGCGAGCGCAGGCGGUU
This 250-nucleotide ribosomal RNA is filed under the name uncultured bacterium. Its description in RNAcentral is "partial 16S ribosomal RNA". It matches the Rfam family "Bacterial small subunit ribosomal RNA", at positions 338 to 580 of the family's 1533-position model. The record is from RNAcentral.